This is a long non-coding RNA of Nomia melanderi (Alkali bee), 1810 nucleotides long. RefSeq lists it as uncharacterized. NCBI's taxonomy places the organism in Eukaryota, Metazoa, Arthropoda, Insecta, Hymenoptera, Halictidae. The record is from RefSeq and is a predicted model, not a curated record.
CUGUAGUUACGUUUUAACCGUCAUUGUAUUUAGAAAACUAUUUACAAUAUCUAUUGUGCUCUCUGUUCUUUCUUUCGCGGUCACGAAUUUUUUCGUUGUUUCCCCGUGAUUUGUAACGUCGACCUGAUUCUUUUCCACGGAAUAGAUCUGAAUGCUGCUAUUGUUUUGGUGCAUAAUGGAAGCAAGAUUGUACACGCGUCGCUUAAAAAGGAGACAUAAGAUUAAUUUUUCGGUAUAAAUUUGUAGAACUCGAAUAUUGAGGUAAACCCUGCGCGAACGUGUAGAACAAUCUAGAUAAUAGCUCUACGAUUGUACGGAAUAUCGCGUGUCAAACAAUGUCACGUUCUUUUUUUUCGUAAAAACGAGGUAUUACGCGCGAAAAAGGGUAUCGAUCUCGGUGUACAUAUCGGUCGUAAAAUAUCGUAUCAAAUAUGGUGGAGAUUGACAGGCAUGAAGAUACAGUGUUGACCAUGAAUAUCUCCGGAUUAUACAAAUACGUUCGCAUGCACCAAUGUCGCAACCAUUGUGAACCGUGUGCUGCAUGUUAUAAUUCCUUAUGGACAAACGGACAUCGACCGCAGAAUAUCGAGUUUCGAAGCGCAGGAAAGGAAAUAUUUUAAAAUUUCUUUUCCUGUCCUGAUGGUACACCCUCUAUCGCGGGACGGCCGGCUGACCUAUAUUCACCUGAUCCAGCGUCCCGUAGAUCGACGAGCAAUGGCGACGCAUCCUGCCGGAUAGACGAGUGGCAACAGAUCGACCGUUUCACCCUUGAAACUCGUGCAUUUCGUCAGUCGACCGACGUCGCUUUUCCCGUUGAAUCGACUCUGUUGCGGCAGACGAAUCGAGAAAAAAAAGAGAAGAAAAGGAGAGAACGACUGUGGCUAAGAAAAACUCACCGGAUCAGCUCGAAGAUCUCCGGCUUCUCGAGCUCCCUCUGCUUCAUUCUUUCCUUCAUGGCCGUGAUUAUGCUGUUAGCCUUAUCCUCGGCGCCGUGCUUUGAGCUCUUCUCAGCCGCCCCUGGGAAAAUGAAGCAACCGGUGAAAAUUCACGCUGUGAAACUCAAGUCUCGUGAUCGCGAGAACUUCUCAAGCCGUGGAUUAGGCUGCGUUUAUACCGUAGUUGCGAUACUCGAUAAAAGUAUCGAUGAGAACGAAGUUUAGAAAUAGGUUUCGUUGUUUCAGUGUGAAUACGUUUACGCUGAAGCAGCGAGCAAGGCCACAUGUGAAAACGUUGCGGCAACGAUUAUUUUGGAGUAGGGUAACUUGAGGAGAGCUGGCUCACUUUUUUGAAAGGUUUUUUAACCCUCUAUAGGCCCGUGUCACUUUGAAUGAAUUGAUUUAUUUAAUUUUUUAUUGCAAAAUGAUGAAUGUGGGAGUAGGGUGCGAAAUGACUGAUACUUAUUCACUUAUUUAUUAUUCAACACUUAAAAAGUACACGGAAGGACUUUUGUCUGACCUAGCGCCAGAACGAACAAACGUGAAGUGACUCUUGCUGUCAUUGGUUCAUCUGUUCGGAAAAGAAGGUUUUCCCCACGUGCGGAGCUAGCUGGUUUAUUUGUUUCAUCGCCCGUUUUAGGGCUCGGCAAUUUAAUGAGCCCGCACGGGUUUGCGACACCGAUGUUUGCUUACCCAUGCUACCUGGGCUAGAACAUCCGCUCGGCAAGAAAACCUUUUCUGCGUCCCGUUAUGCCGCCACAAUGAAUGAAUUUUGUAACUUCAAAGUUACAAAAUAUAUUCGUUUUGAUACAAUUAUUAAAACUACUGAAUACAAUGUUAAUUUGUAUUCAUAUGUUGAUAUUUAUUAAUUUCAU